Molecule: ribosomal RNA, 627 nt
Filed under: Choerophryne nigrescens
Lineage: Eukaryota; Metazoa; Chordata; Amphibia; Anura; Microhylidae
Description: partial 16S ribosomal RNA
Rfam family: Bacterial large subunit ribosomal RNA (bases 52-168)
Source: RNAcentral
CAUCAUGGUUUAACUAGUAAAACCAAGCAAAAUGAGAUUUAAGUUUGACUUCCCGAAACUAAGUGAGCUACUUCAAAACAGCCUUACGGGCCAACCCAUCCCUGUUGCAAAAGAGUGGGAAGAUUUUUAAGUAGAGGUGACACACCUACCGAGCCUAGAGAUAGCUGGUUAUUCAAGAAAAGGAUCUAGUCCAAUUUUAAACCUUCUUAUAGUACUAAAUACACCACCAGCUUUAAAAUUUAUUCAAAUAAGGUACAGCCUAUUUGAAACAGGAUACAACCUAUCCAGCAGGGUAAUGAUACACCUACAUGUCCAAGUUGGCCUAAAAGCAGCCACCUUUAAAAAAAGCGUUAUAGCUUAAUCACACAAUAUUAUCAAUUUCUACUAAAACCCAAAACCCUCCUCCCCUACUGAAUGAAUCUAUACCAAUAUAGAAGACCUUAUGUUAAAACUAGUAAUAAGAAAUCUUUUCUCCCUAAAGCACGUGUAAGCCAGAAUGAAACACUCACCGGCACUUACCGCCAAGAAUCUACAGUAUUAACCUUGCAAGAAAAAUCUACUCUCUCAAAUCGUUAACCUCACGCCAGAGCUUUACCGGAAGAUUUAAAAAGAGGGAAGGAACUCGGC